Molecule: ribosomal RNA, 465 nt
Filed under: uncultured bacterium
Lineage: Bacteria
Description: partial 16S ribosomal RNA
Rfam family: Bacterial small subunit ribosomal RNA
Source: RNAcentral
AUGAACGCUGGCGGCGUGCUUAACCCCUGCAAGUCGCACGAUGAAGCCCAGCUUGCUGGGUGGAUUAGUGGCGAACGGGUGAGUAACACGUGAGUAACCUGCCCUUAACUCUGGGAUAGGCCUGGGAAACUGGGUCUAAUACCGGAUAGGAGCGCCUACCGCAUGGUGGGUGUUGGAAAGAUUUAUCGGUUUUGGAUGGACUCGCGGCCUAUCAGCUUGUUGGUGAGGUAAUGGCUCACCAAGGCGACGACGGGUAGCCGGCCUGAGAGGGUGACCGGCCACACUGGGACUGAGACACGGCCCAGACUCCUACGGGAGGCAGCAGUGGGGAAUAUUGCACAAUGGGCGAAAGCCUGAUGCAGCGACGCCGCGUGAGGGAUGACGGCCUUCGGGUUGUAAACCUCUUUCAGUAGGGAAGAAGCGAAAGUGACGGUACCUGCAGAAGAAGCACCGGCUAACUACGUG